Molecule: ribosomal RNA, 430 nt
Filed under: Chitinophagaceae bacterium
Lineage: Bacteria; Pseudomonadati; Bacteroidota; Chitinophagia; Chitinophagales; Chitinophagaceae
Description: bacterial LSU rRNA
Rfam family: Bacterial large subunit ribosomal RNA
Source: RNAcentral
CUUAUCUCCCCCAAUAGUUCACAUAGACGGGGAGGUUUGGCACCUCGAUGUCGGCUCGUCACAUCCUGGGGCUGGAGAAGGUCCCAAGGGUUCGGCUGUUCGCCGAUUAAAGUGGCACGUGAACUGGGUUCAGAACGUCGCAAGACAGUUCGGUCCCUAUCUGUGAUGGGCGUUAGAAAAUUGAGUGGACAUGACCUUAGUACGAGAGGACCGGGUCGUACGUACCGCUGGUGUAUCUGUUGUGCCGCCAGGUGCAAUGCAGAGUAGCUAUGUACGGAUCGGAUAAACGCUGAAAGCAUCUAAGCGUGAAACCAACCACAAGAUGAGUUUUCUUUUAAGGGUCGUCAAAGACUAUGACGUUGAUAGGCUACAGGUGUAAAGGUGGUAACAUCAAAGCCGAGUAGUACUAAUUGCCCGUAAGCUUUAUUUU